Schistosoma curassoni is the source of this 36-nucleotide non-coding RNA. NCBI's taxonomy places the organism in Eukaryota, Metazoa, Platyhelminthes, Trematoda, Strigeidida, Schistosomatidae. The record is from Rfam.
GCUGAGGAGUCCCACAAUAGGACGAAACGGCUGUCC